This 496-nucleotide ribosomal RNA is filed under the name uncultured bacterium. RNAcentral's name for it is "partial 16S ribosomal RNA". It matches the Rfam family "Bacterial small subunit ribosomal RNA", at positions 29 to 507 of the family's 1533-position model. The record is from RNAcentral.
AUGAACGCUGGCGGCGUGCCUAAUACAUGCAAGUCGAGCGAACGGACGAGAAGCUUGCUUCUCUGAUGUUAGCGGCGGACGGGUGAGUAACACGUGGAUAACCUACCUAUAAGACUGGGAUAACUUCGGGAAACCGGAGCUAAUACCGGAUGAUAUUUUGAACCGCAUGGUUCAAAAGUGAAAGACGGUCUUGCUGUCACUUAUAGAUGGUUCCGCGCUGCAUUAGCUAGUUGGUAAGGUAACGGCUUACCAAGGCAACGAUGCAUAGCCGACCUGAGAGGGUGAUCGGCCACACUGGAACUGAGACACGGUCCAGACUCCUACGGGAGGCAGCAGUAGGGAAUCUUCCGCAAUGGGCGAAAGCCUGACGGAGCAACGCCGCGUGAGUGAUGAAGGUCUUCGGAUCGUAAAACUCUGUUAUUAGGGAAGAACAUAUGUGUAAGUAACUGUGCACAUCUUGACGGUACCUAAUCAGAAAGCCACGGCUAACUACGUG